CGCGUAGGCGGUCUUUUAAGUCAGGUGUGAAAGCCCGGGGCUCAACCCCGGAAGUGCACUUGAAACUAAGAGACUUGAGUAUGGGAGAGGGAAGUGGAAUUCCUGGUGUAGCGGUGAAAUGCGUAGAUAUCAGGAGGAACACCGGUGGCGAAGGCGACUUCCUGGACCAAUACUGACGCUGAGGCGCGAAGGCGUGGGGAGCAAACA
RNAcentral lists this ribosomal RNA (207 nucleotides) under uncultured bacterium. RNAcentral describes it as "partial 16S ribosomal RNA". It matches the Rfam family "Bacterial small subunit ribosomal RNA", at positions 568 to 774 of the family's 1533-position model. The record is from RNAcentral.